AGAUUGAACGCUGGCGGCAUGCCUUACACAUGCAAGUCGAACGGCAGCACGGGAGCAAUCCUGGUGGCGAGUGGCGAACGGGUGAGUAAUACAUCGGAACGUGCCCAAUCGUGGGGGAUAACGGCAGCGAAAGCUGUGCUAAUACCGCAUAAGAUCUACGGAUGAAAGCAGGGGAUCGCAAGACCUUGCGCGAAUGGAGCGGCCGAUGGCAGAUUAGGUAGUUGGUGAGGUAAAGGCUCACCAAGCCUUCGAUCUGUAGCUGGUCUGAGAGGACGACCAGCCACACUGGGACUGAGACA
RNAcentral lists this ribosomal RNA (299 nucleotides) under uncultured soil bacterium. RNAcentral's name for it is "partial 16S ribosomal RNA". It matches the Rfam family "Bacterial small subunit ribosomal RNA", at positions 26 to 326 of the family's 1533-position model. The record is from RNAcentral.